RNAcentral lists this ribosomal RNA (468 nucleotides) under uncultured bacterium. Its description in RNAcentral is "partial 16S ribosomal RNA". It matches the Rfam family "Bacterial small subunit ribosomal RNA", at positions 28 to 507 of the family's 1533-position model. The record is from RNAcentral.
GACGAACGCUGGCGGCGUGCUUAACACAUGCAAGUCGAACGGUAAGGCCCUGCUUUUGUGGGGUGCGCGAGUGGCGAACGGGUGAGUAACACGUGAGUGACCUGCCCUUUACUUUGGGAUAACUUCAGGAAACUGGGGCUAAUACCGGAUAGGAGCUCCUUCUACAUGGUGGGUGUGGGAAAGUGUCGGCGGUUGGGGAUGGACUGGCGGCUUAGCAGCGUGUUGGUGGGGUGGUGGCUUACCAAGGCGUUGACGGGUAGCCGGCUUGGGAGGGUGACCGGCCCCAUUGGGACUGAGAUAGCGGCAAGACUCAUACGGGAGCAAGCAGUGGGGAUUAGUGCACAAUGGGCGGAAGCCGGAUGGAGCAACGCCGCGUCGGGGAUCACGGCCGUCGGGUUGUAAACCGCGUUCGCCUGUGAAGAAGCGCGAGUGACGGUAAUGGGUAAAGAAGCACCGGCUAACUACGUG